UGGGGAAUCUUCCGCAAUGGACGAAAGUCUGACGGAGCAACGCCGCGUGAGUGAUGAAGGCCUUCGGGUUGUAAAACUCUGUUGUCAGGGACGAAAGCACCGAUCUAUAAUACAUUUUGGUGUUGACGGUACCUGACGAGGAAGCCACGGCUAACUACGUGCCAGCAGCCGCGGUAAUACGUAGGUGGCAAGCGUUGUCCGGAAUUAUUGGGCGUAAAGAGCAUGUAGGCGGGCUUUUAAGUCCGACGUGAAAAUGCGGGGCUUAACCCCGUAUGGCGUUGGAUACUGGAAGUCUUGAGUGCAGGAGAGGAAAGGGGAAUUCCCAGUGUAGCGGUGAAAUGCGUAGAUAUUGGGAGGAACACCAGUGGCGAAGGCGCCUUUCUGGACUGUGUCUGACGCUGAGAUGCGAAAGCCAGGGUAGCAAACGGGAUUAGAUACCCUGGUAG
RNAcentral lists this ribosomal RNA (446 nucleotides) under uncultured Acidaminococcus sp. RNAcentral describes it as "bacterial SSU rRNA". It matches the Rfam family "Bacterial small subunit ribosomal RNA", at positions 355 to 793 of the family's 1533-position model. Lineage: Bacteria; Bacillati; Bacillota; Negativicutes; Acidaminococcales; Acidaminococcaceae. The record is from RNAcentral.